UACGGAGGAUCCAAGCGUUAUCCGGAAUCAUUGGGCUUAAAGGGUCCGUAGGCGGACCUGUAAGUCAGUGGUGAAAUCUCGCAGCUUAACUGUGAAACUGCCAUUGAUACUGCAGGUCUUGAGUGAAUUUGAGGUAGCUGGAAUAAGUAGUGUAGCGGUGAAAUGCAUAGAUAUUACUAAGAACACCAAUUGCGAAGGCAGGUUACCAAGAUGCAACUGACGCUGAGGGACGAAAGCGUGGGGAGCGAACAGG
This 253-nucleotide ribosomal RNA is filed under the name uncultured bacterium. RNAcentral's name for it is "partial 16S ribosomal RNA". It matches the Rfam family "Bacterial small subunit ribosomal RNA", at positions 524 to 776 of the family's 1533-position model. The record is from RNAcentral.